GCCUUCUUAGCUCAGUGGUAGAGUACUGGUCUCGUAAACCAGGGGUCGUGAGUUCGAACUUCGCAGAAGGCA
Molecule: transfer RNA, 72 nt
Filed under: Schistocerca americana (American grasshopper)
Lineage: Eukaryota; Metazoa; Arthropoda; Insecta; Orthoptera; Acrididae
Description: tRNA-Thr
Rfam family: tRNA
About the family: Transfer RNA (tRNA) molecules are approximately 80 nucleotides in length. Their secondary structure includes four short double-helical elements and three loops (D, anti-codon, and T loops). Further hydrogen bonds mediate the characteristic L-shaped molecular structure. tRNAs have two regions of fundamental functional importance: the anti-codon, which is responsible for specific mRNA codon recognition, and the 3' end, to which the tRNAs corresponding amino acid is attached (by aminoacyl-tRNA synthetases). tRNAs cope with the degeneracy of the genetic code in two manners: having more than one tRNA (with a specific anti-codon) for a particular amino acid; and 'wobble' base-pairing, i.e. permitting non-standard base-pairing at the 3rd anti-codon position.
Source: RNAcentral